RNAcentral lists this ribosomal RNA (429 nucleotides) under Acidobacteriota bacterium. Its description in RNAcentral is "Acidobacteria bacterium partial 16S ribosomal RNA". It matches the Rfam family "Bacterial small subunit ribosomal RNA", at positions 355 to 776 of the family's 1533-position model. Lineage: Bacteria; Pseudomonadati; Acidobacteriota. The record is from RNAcentral.
UGGGGAAUUUUGGACAAUGGGGGAAACCCUGAUCCAGCCAUCCCGCGUGUGCGAUGAAGGCCUUCGGGUUGUAAAGCACUUUUGGCAGGAAAGAAACGUCAUGGGUUAAUACCCCGUGAAACUGACGGUACCUGCAGAAUAAGCACCGGCUAACUACGUGCCAGCAGCCGCGGUAAUACGUAGGGUGCAAGCGUUAAUCGGAAUUACUGGGCGUAAAGCGUGCGCAGGCGGUUCGGAAAGAAAGAUGUGAAAUCCCAGAGCUCAACUUUGGAACUGCAUUUUUAACUACCGGGCUAGAGGGUGUCAGAGGGGGGUGGAAUUCCGCGUGUAGCAGUGAAAUGCGUAGAUAUGCGGAGGAACACCGAUGGCGAAGGCAGCCUCCUGGGAUAACACUGACGCUCAUGCACGAAAGCGUGGGGAGCAAACAGG